AUUGAACGCUGGCGGCAUGCCUUACACAUGCAAGUCGAACGGCAGCAUGAUCUAGCUUGCUAGAUUGAUGGCGAGUGGCGAACGGGUGAGUAAUACAUCGGAACGUGCCCUGUAGUGGGGGAUAACUAGUCGAAAGAUGAGCUAAUACCGCAUACUACCUGAGGGUGAAAGUGGGGGACCGCAAGGCCUCAUGCUAUAGGAGCGGCCGAUGUCUGAUUAGCUAGUUGGUGAGGUAAAGGCUCACCAAGGCGACGAUCAGUAGCUGGUCUGAGAGGACGAUCAGCCACACUGGGACUGAGACACGGCCCAGACUCCUACGGGAGGCAGCAGUGGGGAAUUUUGGACAAUGGGCGAAAGCCUGAUCCAGCAAUGCCGCGUGUGUGAAGAAGGCCUUCGGGUUGUAAAGCACUGUUGUCCGGAAAGAAAUGGAUCUGGUUAAUACCUGGGGUCGAUGACGGUACCGGAAGAAUAAGGACCGGCUAACUACGUG
Molecule: ribosomal RNA, 490 nt
Filed under: uncultured bacterium
Lineage: Bacteria
Description: partial 16S ribosomal RNA
Rfam family: Bacterial small subunit ribosomal RNA
Source: RNAcentral